GUAUUAAUAUGUGUUAAUUUCGCGUACGGUUAAUUUGCAUUCGAAGUUUGUUGUUCUUGUAUUUAUUUCUCAAUGUACUAAUGUACAUGUCUUUCAAAUGCAGAGAUGGCUCAGCCUUCGACCCCAGAGCUUUUGGACCCUGCCGUGGACAAAAAGGAUCGCAGCUUCUUAUCCGCCGAGCACCAGACGGACCUAGGAGUGUUUCGCCCACGAGGCCCUGGAGAGCUGCUGACGGUAGACGAGCGCUGGACCCACAGGUUGGGAGCGGCCGGACUCCUACCGCUUUGCCGGUUGGUCGAGGCCCGAACGACGGAGGACCCCGAGGUUGCGACCCGUCGUUUCUACUUCGAUCGGUCGCUGAUAGCAGCACUGGUCGACCGUUGGAGGCCGGAGACACAUACGUUCCACCUACCGUGCGGAGAGAUGACCCCGACCCUGCAGGACGUCUCCUACCUCUUAGGCCUUCCUUGCACGGGAGCUGCGGUUGGGGUGAUCGAUAUGCAGGCUGACUGGAUGAACGACAUGCAUCAGCGAUUUGGGCCGGUGGAGCGAAAGGAGGAUGCACCCCCCGUACGUGCCUGAGUUCUUAGCCGAUGCACGAGGGCCAACGAAGAAGUGGAUCCUACAGUUCCAGCCGACGUACAUCCACCCACAAGCCAACGCAUACGCGGUCUCGAGACAUUUGGAGGCCUACCUCCUUUGGUUGUUUGGGUGGGUGAUGUUCACUAGUGGCCAAGGCCACCUGGUUACGAGGACCCUUGUGCCGUACGCCCGGUCGAUAGCGGACGCGCAUGCAGAGGAUGUACCGUAGUUCAGCUGGGC
Long non-coding RNA from Phragmites australis (common reed), 822 nucleotides. RefSeq lists it as uncharacterized. NCBI's taxonomy places the organism in Eukaryota, Viridiplantae, Streptophyta, Magnoliopsida, Poales, Poaceae. The record is from RefSeq and is a predicted model, not a curated record. The transcript has 3 exons.